UACGAAGGGUGCAAGCGUUACUCGGAAUUACUGGGCGUAAAGCGUGCGUAGGUGGUCGUUUAAGUCCGUUGUGAAAGCCCUGGGCUCAACCUGGGAACUGCAGUGGAAACUGGGUGACUAGAGUGUUGUAGAGGGGAGCGGAAUUCCGUGUGUAGCGGUGAAAUGCGUAGAGAUCAGGAGGAACAUCCAUGGCGAAGGCGGCUGCCUGGACCAAUACUGACACUGAGGUACGAAAGCGUGGGGAGCAAACAGG
This 253-nucleotide ribosomal RNA is filed under the name uncultured bacterium. Its description in RNAcentral is "partial 16S ribosomal RNA". It matches the Rfam family "Bacterial small subunit ribosomal RNA", at positions 524 to 776 of the family's 1533-position model. The record is from RNAcentral.